Molecule: transfer RNA, 76 nt
Filed under: Acholeplasma laidlawii
Lineage: Bacteria; Bacillati; Mycoplasmatota; Mollicutes; Acholeplasmatales; Acholeplasmataceae
Description: tRNA-Ala
Rfam family: tRNA
About the family: Transfer RNA (tRNA) molecules are approximately 80 nucleotides in length. Their secondary structure includes four short double-helical elements and three loops (D, anti-codon, and T loops). Further hydrogen bonds mediate the characteristic L-shaped molecular structure. tRNAs have two regions of fundamental functional importance: the anti-codon, which is responsible for specific mRNA codon recognition, and the 3' end, to which the tRNAs corresponding amino acid is attached (by aminoacyl-tRNA synthetases). tRNAs cope with the degeneracy of the genetic code in two manners: having more than one tRNA (with a specific anti-codon) for a particular amino acid; and 'wobble' base-pairing, i.e. permitting non-standard base-pairing at the 3rd anti-codon position.
Source: RNAcentral
GAGGCUUUAGCUCAGCUGGGAGAGCGCCUGCCUUGCACGCAGGAGGUCAGCGGUUCGAUCCCGCUAAGCUCCACCA